GAUGAACGCUGGCGGCGUGCCUAAUACAUGCAAGUCGAGCGAACAGACGAGGAGCUUGCUCCUCUGACGUUAGCGGCGAACGGGUGAGUAACAAGUGGAUAACCUACCUAUAAGACUGGGAUAACUUCGGGAAAACGGAGCUAAUACCGGAUAAUAUAUUGAACCGCAUGGUUCAAUAGUGAAAGACGGUUUUGCUGUCACUUAUAGAUGGAUCCGCGCCCCAUUAGCUAGUUGGUAAGGUAACGGCUUACCAAGGCGACGAUGCGUAGCCGACCUGAGAGGGUGAUCGCCCACACUGGAUCUGAGACACGUUCCAGACUCCUACGGGAGGCAGCAGUAGGGAAUCUUCCGCAAUGGGCGAAAGCCUGACGGAGCAACGCCGCGUGAGUGAUGAAGGUCUUCGGAUCGUAAAACUCUGUUAUUAGGGAAGAACAAAUGUGUAAGUAACUAUGCACGUCUUGACGGUACCUAAUCAGAAAGCCACGGCUAACUACGUG
Molecule: ribosomal RNA, 497 nt
Filed under: uncultured bacterium
Lineage: Bacteria
Description: partial 16S ribosomal RNA
Rfam family: Bacterial small subunit ribosomal RNA
Source: RNAcentral